CCUUCAUGAAGCCGGAAUUGCUAGUAAUGGCAGGUCAGCAUACUGCCGUGAAUACGUUCCCGGGCCUUGUACACACCGCCCGUCACACCAUGAGAGUUGGGAAUACCCGAAGCCUGUGAGCUAACGUAAGAGGCAGCAGUCGAAGGUAGAAUCAAUGAUUGGGGUGAAGUCGUAACAAGGUAGC
This 184-nucleotide ribosomal RNA is filed under the name uncultured bacterium. Its description in RNAcentral is "partial 16S ribosomal RNA". It matches the Rfam family "Bacterial small subunit ribosomal RNA", at positions 1315 to 1500 of the family's 1533-position model. The record is from RNAcentral.